AGCGAACGCUGGCGGAAUGCUUAACACAUGCAAGUCGCACGCCCUGCAAGGGGAGUGGCGGACGGGUGAGUAACGCGUAGGAAUAUGUCCAGAGGUGGGGGACAACCCUGGGAAACUGGGGCUAAUACCGCAUAUGGGCUGAGGCCCAAAGCAGUGAUGCGCCUUUGGAGUAGCCUGCGUCCGAUUAGCUUGUUGGUGGGGUAAAGGCUUACCAAGGCGACGAUCGGUAGCUGGUCUGAGAGGACGACCAGCCACACUGGGACUGAGACACGGCCCAGACUCCUACGGGAGGCAGCAGUGGGGAAUAUUGGACAAUGGGCGCAAGCCUGAUCCAGCAAUUCCGCGUGGGUGAAGAAGGUCUUCGGGUUGUAAGGCCCUUUCGACGGGGACGAUGAUGACGGUACCCGUAGAAGAAGCCCCGGCUAACUUCGUGCCAGCAGCCGCGGUAA
RNAcentral lists this ribosomal RNA (449 nucleotides) under uncultured bacterium. RNAcentral's name for it is "partial 16S ribosomal RNA". It matches the Rfam family "Bacterial small subunit ribosomal RNA", at positions 29 to 523 of the family's 1533-position model. The record is from RNAcentral.